Molecule: ribosomal RNA, 483 nt
Filed under: Ectophoma multirostrata
Lineage: Eukaryota; Fungi; Ascomycota; Dothideomycetes; Pleosporales; Didymellaceae
Description: eukaryotic LSU rRNA
Rfam family: 5.8S ribosomal RNA (bases 155-308)
Source: RNAcentral
CGGAAGGAUCAUUACCUAGAGUUGUAGGCUUUGCCUGCUAUCUCUUACCCAUGUCUUUUGAGUACCUUCGUUUCCUCGGCGGGUCCGCCCGCCGAUUGGACACAUUUAAACCCUUUGUAGUUGCAAUCAGCGUCUGAAAAACUUUAAUAGUUACAACUUUCAACAACGGAUCUCUUGGUUCUGGCAUCGAUGAAGAACGCAGCGAAAUGCGAUAAGUAGUGUGAAUUGCAGAAUUCAGUGAAUCAUCGAAUCUUUGAACGCACAUUGCGCCCCUUGGUAUUCCAUGGGGCAUGCCUGUUCGAGCGUCAUUUGUACCUUCAAGCUUUGCUUGGUGUUGGGUGUUUGUCUCGCCUCUGCGCGCAGACUCGCCUCAAAACAAUUGGCAGCCGGCGUAUUGAUUUCGGAGCGCAGUACAUCUCGCGCUUUGCACUCAUAACGACGACGUCCAAAAAGUACAUUUUUUACACUCUUGACCUCGGAUCA